AACGCACAUUGCGCCCGCCAGCAUUCUGGCGGGCAUGCCUGUUCGAGCGUCAUUUCAACCCUCAGGCCCUGCCUGGCGUUGGAGGACUGCGCACCGCAGCCUCCCAAAGCGAGCGGCGGCGGCGCCCCGAAACCGAACGCAGUAGUUACCUCUCGUUCCGGGUCCGGGUCGUUGUCCUGCCGGAAAACCCCCAUCUUAUCAAUGGUUGACCUCGAAUCAGGUAGGAGUUACCCGCUGAACUUAA
RNAcentral lists this unclassified non-coding RNA (244 nucleotides) under uncultured fungus. Its description in RNAcentral is "partial contains 5.8S ribosomal RNA, internal transcribed spacer 2, and large subunit ribosomal RNA". Lineage: Eukaryota; Fungi. The record is from RNAcentral.